AAGUCGUAACAAGGUUUCCGUAGGUGAACCUGCGGAAGGAUCAUUAUCGAAGUUGGGUUCGUCGAGCCCCUAAACUUCCACCCUCUGUCUACUACACUUUGUUGCUUUGGCGAGACGUCCCUCUGGGCCACCGGCCGUUGCUGGUGUGUGCUCGCCAGAGAAAACCCAAAUUCAAACCCUGUUAGUGAAUUGUCUGAAAACAAGUUUAAUAAUUAAAACUUUCAACAACGGAUCUCUUGGCUCUG
Molecule: unclassified non-coding RNA, 245 nt
Filed under: fungal sp.
Lineage: Eukaryota; Fungi
Also listed under: 2 other names
Description: partial internal transcribed spacer region
Rfam family: Eukaryotic small subunit ribosomal RNA (bases 1-46)
Source: RNAcentral